This 322-nucleotide ribosomal RNA is filed under the name uncultured Cercomonas. Its description in RNAcentral is "SSU rRNA". The stretch from base 112 to 322 matches the Rfam family "Eukaryotic small subunit ribosomal RNA", at positions 744 to 955 of the family's 1831-position model. Lineage: Eukaryota; Cercozoa; Cercomonadida; Cercomonadidae. The record is from RNAcentral.
GAUUUCUGGCCUGAAACAUUUUGCCGGCCACGGUUUCGUGUGUUAGUGCUUGAUGUUCUGGCCAUCCUUCCAAUCGCUAUUGGCCUUUCUUCAUUGAUAGGUCAGUAGUAUUGGAUCUUUUACUUUGAAAAAAUUAGAGUGUUUCAAGCAGGCUUUAUGCUAUGAAUACAUUAGCAUGGAAUAAUAAUUUAGGACUUCGGUUCUAUUUUGUUGGUUUCUAGGACUGAAGUAAUGAUUGAUAGGGAUAGUUGGGGGUGCUAGUAUUCAGCGGCCAGAGGUGAAAUUCUCGGAUUCGCUGAAGACUAACUUAUGCGAAAGCAUU